Molecule: long non-coding RNA, 2543 nt
Organism: Magnolia sinica
Lineage: Eukaryota; Viridiplantae; Streptophyta; Magnoliopsida; Magnoliales; Magnoliaceae
Exons: 3
Source: RefSeq, a predicted model, not a curated record
CACUGGUAGAUCUGUUUUUUUAUUGUCUUUGUUGGCUACCCUGCUAGCAUUUCUCUGCAGGUGGGAAUUUGAUUUGAAAGUUGUUCACAAUUGCCAUUCUAUGUGGUAUCCCACUACGAAGCAUUUUGGAAAAGACAGCAAGUCUCUUCUGUGUGCUCAGAUAUGGUUGACCAGUCUCUGAAUCUAUCAUACUUAGAAGUGUGUGUGUGAGAUCUGCAAUAAAAUAUAGUUUAGAGAUGAAUGCAACAAAAACUGGAAUAUGCAUUGAAAGAAAGAGAGUUAACUGUGAUAUACCUGUAUAACCAAUGGAUGAAAUAGGUAGGUUUCUAUCUAGGUUUUAUUGAUAAAGCAAGAUUUUCUACAUUCGCGUGUUUUUGUGGAUUGUGACAUGUAAAAACUACUCGUGAAAUUCCUGCAAAUCCAUGUACUAAAAAAGAGUACAGGGAAGAUUUUCUGUUUCUUUGCUUUACCUCUCUCUCUCUUGUCAUUUUUUCUGUUUUCGAUGGUAAGAGCUACAAAUGCAUAAGAUACUUAGAAUGGUAAUGUAUAUCUUCCUUUUCUCUCUCUUCCCAUCUGAGCCCAUGCAUCUAGAGCCACUUGCCAAGGCAAUAUACAAAGAAAUGCAUAUGGGUCUUUGGGUUCUUUUAAAAGCUUUAAAAAAAUGGGCCGGGAGAUUUGCCUUCUCAAAGUCAGUUCGAAAAAACUGGAUUCUUGCCCUGUUGCUACAUAUUUUUUGGCAGUUGAGUUUAUUUAUCACUAAUAGGAUAAACAUUUGUACAUUGCUGAUAAGAGAAACUUUUGUACAUUAGUUGAGUUUAUUUAUCACUAAGCACAUCUUAUUUAGAUAUUUGUUGGAGGGCUUGGCCUGAAUACCAGCGAUGGGGAUCUCAGAUAAGACUUUUCUCAAUAUGGUGAGAUUAAUUCUGUAAAGAUACUAGUUGGGAAAGGAUGCAGGUUCGUUCAGUUUGUCAGUGGUAUAAUUUAUGACCAUGGUUCAAUAGAAAACAUGAUGGAAUCCCCUUCACAAUAUCUCUAUAAUUCUUAAUGUUAUUUUGAAUUUUGUACUUUAUUAUUCUUGGUAGAAACCAUGUUGAGGAGGCAUUGCAGAGGUUGAAUGGGACAGUCAUUGGGAACCAGAUAGUUCGUCUUUCAUGGGGUCGUAAUCCAGCCAACAAGCAGGGAACUUCCAUCUUUGGAGCUUAGUUUGUAGAUGUGGGGCUCAUGGUAUUCGUAAUUUCGCAUGCAAACUGUGAGAAGGUUGAUGAAAGUUGCAUAAGACUUUGAAAGGUUUGGGCAUUGUGUUCAAGUAGAGAUUUCUUGCAUUGAUAGUUCUUUGAAAAUAAAAUGUAUCGAUCUGUUUAGCAAUACAAUACUUGAUUUAUUCUUCAAUUUGGUAUUAGGAAUUACUUCUAUACCUAAUGGUUUUUGUGAGUUUUUAUUCAAGGAUCCUUUGCCUAUUAGGAAUGAUCGGUAAGAAAUAUCUUUGUUAGUUCCUGCUGAUUCAACUUCAUUAUUUGCAUUGCCGUAGUAAUAUAUAGCACAUUGUGUAAUGAAAUCUAUUGAUGUUUCCGUACUCUGCUAUGAAUUAAAAUAUUAAUUAUCACUUAGAUUAUGUUUUCUCUUUAUAUACUAGACUUUCUUUUUUCAAAACUUUGUUAACAACAACAACAACAACAGGGAGUUGGCUGAAUUUGCAAUUCAAUGGGUUUGUGUUCAAGGACUAGUUUCCAACGCUUGUUGUAUGUUUUGUUGCAUGCAUGAAUUGUUGUAUACUUAAUGUAAGGCAACUUGUCUAAAUUUAGUGAGAUUUCCUAAUGUAGUCGAUAAUCUGUGGAGUUAAGGUAAGUAGACCAUGUAAAAGAGGUAAUCCCUUCUCCGUAGGUGAUUUGCCUACUUUCGGUUCUGUUUGAAUGCACUAAGGAAUUGGAUUGUGAUGAUUAGUUUAAUAGAGUGGAAAUGGUGGAAUUGUAAUUACCUUUUGAGUUCUUAGAAGGAGAUUUUACCCUCAAAUAGUAGUUUGUUUCCUCUUGACUCCAACUUGGUAAUAAUGAAAUUACAAUUGGGAGUGGAGUCCCUCGCAAUAAACAGUUGAGGAAAUUGCAAUUUGGCCACUUCCAAUGUAUUGUCCUAGUCAUUGCAAUUCAAUUCAAUAGUGAAUCCAAACGCACCCUUAGAUUUCCACUAGUGGUGGAAUUUAUCUGGUUUUUACUGUGAAUAGAAGCAUUCUCAUUAAUGGCACCAUGGUUUAAAUGAUCAACUAGUACGACUCUGUAUUUUUUGAGUCAUAUCAGUUAUUGUUUGAAUUUUGGACUAAAAGCAUCUUGUCCACUCAUCUAGUAGGCCACAUAUGUAUGCCACACAUGUGGACUGUUUGUGAUUCUCGUACCAUCCGUUGUAUUGUACAUGAGUAGCACAAUCGAUUUGUUUUAGUGGCCUGAUUUAUGCACCCCUGAUGCACGUUUUGGAUGCCCCACAAACCAACUGAAAAUACCAACUCGAAAAUCUAUGACAAGAUGCAACUAGUGUUCAUAGAAAUGGACAAA